AAUGCAAUGCUUUUGGGAAUAUUUGGCCUAAAUACUUCCCAAUGAAAACCUUGAAAAUGAAAUGCUCCCCAUGGUCAUCAUCUCAAUUGAUUACUAGCCAACGGCCACCUGUUUUGGAGGUCUAUUACCUAUGCAUUAACUUGGCACAAAAUGAACAAUAGUGAUAUAGAUAAUGAGCUAAGCCUUACUGGAGACUGUUUUAAAAAUUUCUAAGUAUUUCAAACAUGGUCUGCCGUACCGGCCGGUAUGGGCCGGUAUGUACCGGUCCGCCCUGGGACUGAUACCGGAUCAGCGUGGAAUUUGGUACCGGUGGUUUAUUGUUGGAGAACCGGUACGGGACCCGUUCAGACCGGUAUGGGCUGGUACGUGACCGGUUCGGGCCGGUACGUGACCGGUUCGGGCCGGUACGUGACCGGUUCGGGCCGGUACGUGACCGGCACGGGACCGAUUCGUACCGGUCCGGGCCGCCACCGGUACGCCGGACCUUGAUUUCAAACCAUUGAUUUUAAAACAUAUGCAAACCAAAGUUCAACUGAUGUGGAUGCUUCUAGAGCAUUGAAAAAAUCAAAGCAUUAUAUGAUUCUGUUGAAAUUGUCCAUGCUGUAUCCAUUUGAUGUACAGGUAAAAGACCAUAAAGAUGCAUGAUUUUUCACUCCUAGCUAGUUUAUGUAAAUUGUGG
This 679-nucleotide long non-coding RNA is filed under the name Phoenix dactylifera (date palm). RNAcentral describes it as "long non-coding RNA (PDAC_LNC019540)". Lineage: Eukaryota; Viridiplantae; Streptophyta; Magnoliopsida; Arecales; Arecaceae. The record is from RNAcentral.